GAUGAACGCUGGCGGUAUGCUUAACACAUGCAAGUCGAACGGACUCUUCGGAGUUAGUGGCGGACGGGUGAGUAACGCGUGAGAAUCUGGCUUUGGGUUCGGGACAACCACUGGAAACGGUGGCUAAUACCGGAUGUGCCGAGAGGUAAAAGAGAAAUUGCCUGAAGAUGAGCUCGCGUCUGAUUAGCUAGUUGGUGAGGUAAAGGCUCACCAAGGCAGCGAUCAGUAGCUGGUCUGAGAGGAUGACCAGCCACACUGGGACUGAGACACGGCCCAGACUCCUACGGGAGGCAGCAGUGGGGAAUUUUCCGCAAUGGGCGAAAGCCUGACGGAGCAAUACCGCGUGAGGGAAGAAGGCUCUUGGGUUGUAAACCUCUUUUCAUAGGGAAGAACAAAAUGACGGUACCUAAGGAAUCAGCAUCGGCUAACUCCGUG
RNAcentral lists this ribosomal RNA (435 nucleotides) under uncultured bacterium. RNAcentral describes it as "partial 16S ribosomal RNA". It matches the Rfam family "Bacterial small subunit ribosomal RNA", at positions 28 to 507 of the family's 1533-position model. The record is from RNAcentral.